This 303-nucleotide ribosomal RNA is filed under the name uncultured bacterium. RNAcentral's name for it is "partial 16S ribosomal RNA". It matches the Rfam family "Bacterial small subunit ribosomal RNA", at positions 507 to 807 of the family's 1533-position model. The record is from RNAcentral.
AGCAGCAGCCGCGGGAAUACGAAGGGGGCUAGCGUUACUCGGAAUUACUGGGCGUAAAGGGCGCGUAGGCGGCGCUCCAAGUUAGGCGUGAAAGUCCUGGGCUCAACCUGGGAACUGCGCUUAAGACUGGAGUGCUUGAGGAUGGAAGAGGGUUGUGGAAUUCCCAGUGUAGAGGUGAAAUUCGUAGAUAUUCGCAGGAACACCAGUGGCGAAGGCGGCUAACUGGCCCGGUACUGACGCUGAGGUGCGAAAGCGUGGGGAGCAAACAGGAUUAGAUACCCCCGUAGUCCCUGUCUCUUAUAC